Molecule: ribosomal RNA, 386 nt
Filed under: Actinocyclus sp. (in: diatoms)
Lineage: Eukaryota; Bacillariophyta; Coscinodiscophyceae; Coscinodiscales; Hemidiscaceae
Description: Actinocyclus sp. (in: Bacillariophyta) partial small subunit ribosomal RNA
Rfam family: Eukaryotic small subunit ribosomal RNA
Source: RNAcentral
AGCUCCAAUAGCGUAUAUUAAAGUUGUUGCAGUUAAAAAGCUCGUAGUUGGAUUUCUGGUAGGAGUAGUGACUAUGGGUCUUUGACCUAUGAAGUUGCUAUCUUCAACCAUCCUUGAAGAGAUUUAGUUUGGCAUUAAGUUGUCGAACUAAAGAUAUUCAUCUUUUACUGUGAAAAAAUCAGAACGUUCAAAGUAAGCAUUUAGCUUUGAAUGUAUUAGCAUGGAAUAAUGAAAUAGGACUUAGGUACUACUUUGUUGGUUUAUGCACCUAGGUAAUGAUUAAUAGGGAUAGUUGGGGGUAUUCGUAUUCCAAUGUUAGAGGUGAAAUUCUUGGAUUUUUGGAAGACGAACAACUGCGAAAGCAUUUACCAAGGAUGUUUUCAUUA